RNAcentral lists this long non-coding RNA (523 nucleotides) under Ananas comosus (pineapple). RNAcentral's name for it is "long non-coding RNA (ACOM_LNC010369)". Lineage: Eukaryota; Viridiplantae; Streptophyta; Magnoliopsida; Poales; Bromeliaceae. The record is from RNAcentral.
GUAAACCCGAAGGACGGUCCUAUCGGGUGAGUUCCUGCGAUGAUGGACUUAAUGUGAAGCAAGCUAAUGUGGCGAAACCCCCGGGUUAGCCUUGAGAUUAAAGAACAAAGAGCAAAGAACAAAGAGCUAAGAAUAAAGAAUAAAGAAUAAAGAGUAAAGUCAAAGAACAAAAGAAUUUGCAUAAUCUGCAUAUGUUAAUGUUGAGCAUAUUUCUUGCUAUUUGUUCAGGCAUAUUAGCAUCAUGUUAUAGAUUGGUUACUAUAUCCUGCUUAUCUUUUCUAUUAUGCCUGAGUUAGUCCUAGUGGGAAAGUCGGUGAUGUUGGGGCCGAACCCACUGGGAACUUCGUUGUAGUUCUCACCCCACUAUUCCACAGAGCCGGGACCAAGCGAGCCGGCGAGCGACCGCGGUAAAGGUAUCGCACCGUAGUCAGAGGCCACCAGAGUUGGGUUACAUUUUGUUAGUAGCUACCCUUUUAUCAUCUUUUGUAUUUGAUGAUUCAAGAUGUUAAUGUAUAAAGCAAAG